This is a small nucleolar RNA of Carya illinoinensis, 118 nucleotides long. RefSeq annotates it as small nucleolar RNA snoR77. The transcript has a single exon. NCBI's taxonomy places the organism in Eukaryota, Viridiplantae, Streptophyta, Magnoliopsida, Fagales, Juglandaceae. The record is from RefSeq and is a predicted model, not a curated record.
AGGCUGCCUGAUGUUUGCGAGAUCUAACGGCAAAGGUGUUAAACUGCUCGUAGGUGUCUCUUGCUCUUCAGACUUCCUGAGAUGUCUUUGAAGCCGGUCUAGUAAGUUCAAGUACAUU